UCCGAUUUGUCACCGGCAGUCUCCCAUGAGUCCCCGUCUUUCACGCUGGCAACAUGGGACGAGGGUUGCGCUCGUUGCGGGACUUAACCCAACAUCUCACGACACGAGCUGACGACAGCCAUGCAGCACCUGUGCUGGCUCCUUACGGGCACGGGCUUUCACCCGCUUUAACCAGCAUGUCAAGCCUAGGUAAGGUUCUUCGCGUUGCAUCGAAUUAAGCCACAUGCUCCACCGCUUGUGCAGGCCCCCGUCAAUUUCUUUGAGUUUUAAUCUUGCGACCGUACUCCCCAGGCGGCGCAUUUAACGCGUUAGCUUCGCCACGAACGGGGUCGAUUCCGCUCACAGCAAAUGCGCACCGUUUACGGCUAGGACUAC
This 375-nucleotide unclassified non-coding RNA is filed under the name uncultured bacterium. Its description in RNAcentral is "contains 16S-23S intergenic spacer region". The record is from RNAcentral.